RNAcentral lists this unclassified non-coding RNA (770 nucleotides) under Hevea brasiliensis (rubber tree). Lineage: Eukaryota; Viridiplantae; Streptophyta; Magnoliopsida; Malpighiales; Euphorbiaceae. The record is from RNAcentral.
AAAAAGGUUUUGAUAACUAUAUGGUGGAUCAGAGACAACUGGUGAUGAAGCUGUGAAAAGAGCAUAAUCAAGACGAAUUUGUCCUGAAUUGUCUUUAUAACUGAAGUAUGGAUACAAGUUGAGAAGCAAUGGGGAUUGGUUAUCCACUAGAAAUUUGAUGAGAGGAUCAAGAAUUGGUCGAUAUUCCUGCUUGAAAGAGCCUUUAGAGGGAGGGAAGGACUCUCCAAGGCUCCUGGUAUCAAUAGCACUAGAAACUUUAAUAUUCCCAAGACCAGCAGAAGAGAGUGCACUGCGAAUAUUUAUCAUGGCAGGGACUAGAAAUCGUGCAAAUGAAUCUGAGGGCAUGACCUCAUUUCCAACUGCAAUAUAACGAAAUCUAACAUCACCAAAGCUUUUUACAUUAUUUUGCACCCAUGUAUUUGCUUCGGCUUGAUUGGUAGCAAUCUUUUGAAGGUCAGUAUUUGGAACUCCAAGCAUGAGCUCGAUGUUGGAGCCUCUAAGGGCUUGCAGGGCAUUUGGGUUUGGGUCGUAGAGUCUCAUUCUGCGAAUGUUAUUUUGAUUGUAGAGACCUAUGACUUCCCCUGGCGGUGGCAGGUCAUUGCCAAGCAUUCCAUAGCAAACGCCUAUUUGAGCACCUGUUGUAUCAAGGCUAGCCAGUAGCAAACCAAUGAGUAGUGUUAAGGAGAGUGUGGAAGAGCAUUUGCCAAUUACAUAGGAACUUGCCAUCCUUAAAGAAACUAUAGAGAAUAAAAUUAAGGGAAUUAAGGGAC